GAUGGAACUUGGACUGCAGACCG
RNAcentral lists this non-coding RNA (23 nucleotides) under Arabidopsis thaliana (thale cress). Lineage: Eukaryota; Viridiplantae; Streptophyta; Magnoliopsida; Brassicales; Brassicaceae. The record is from RNAcentral.